This is a ribosomal RNA of 437 nucleotides. It matches the Rfam family "Bacterial small subunit ribosomal RNA", at positions 341 to 792 of the family's 1533-position model.
ACGGGAGGCAGCAGUGGGGAGUAUUGGGCAAUGGGCGAAAGCCUGACCCAGCGACGCCGCGUGAGGGAAGAAGAUCUUCGGAUUGUAAACCUUAGUCAACAGGGACGAAGAAAGUGACGGUACCUGUGGAGGAAGCCACGGCUAACUACGUGCCAGCAGCCGCGGUAAUACGUAGGUGGCGAGCGUUAUCCGGAAUUACUGGGUGUAAAGGGUGUGUAGGCGGGUCUGCAAGUCAGAUGUGAAAACUAUGGGCUUAACCCAUAGCCUGCAUUUGAAACUGUAGCCCUUGAGUAUCGGAGAGGCAAGCGGAAUUCCUAGUGUAGCGGUGAAAUGCGUAGAUAUUAGGAGGAACACCAGUGGCGAAGGCGGCUUGCUGGACGACAACUGACGCUGAGGCGCGAAAGCGUGGGGAGCAAACAGGAUUAGAUACCCUGGUA